Molecule: ribosomal RNA, 2904 nt
Filed under: Escherichia coli
Lineage: Bacteria; Pseudomonadati; Pseudomonadota; Gammaproteobacteria; Enterobacterales; Enterobacteriaceae
Description: bacterial LSU rRNA
Rfam family: Bacterial large subunit ribosomal RNA
Source: RNAcentral
UUAAGCGACUAAGCGUACACGGUGGAUGCCUUGGCAGUCAGAGGCGAUGAAGGACGUGCUAAUCUGCGAUAAGCGUCGGUAAGGUGAUAUGAACCGUUAUAACCGGCGAUUUCCGAAUGGGGAAACCCAGUGUGAUUCGUCACACUAUCAUUAACUGAAUCCAUAGGUUAAUGAGGCGAACCGGGGGAACUGAAACAUCUAAGUACCCCGAGGAAAAGAAAUCAACCGAGAUUCCCCCAGUAGCGGCGAGCGAACGGGGAGCAGCCCAGAGCCUGAAUCAGUAUGUGUGUUAGUGGAAGCGUCUGGAAAGGCGCGCGAUACAGGGUGACAGCCCCGUACACAAAAAUGCACAUGCUGUGAGCUCGAUGAGUAGGGCGGGACACGUGGUAUCCUGUCUGAAUAUGGGGGGACCAUCCUCCAAGGCUAAAUACUCCUGACUGACCGAUAGUGAACCAGUACCGUGAGGGAAAGGCGAAAAGAACCCCGGCGAGGGGAGUGAAAAAGAACCUGAAACCGUGUACGUACAAGCAGUGGGAGCACAGAGCAAUCUGUGUGACUGCGUACCUUUUGUAUAAUGGGUCAGCGACUUAUAUUCUGUAGCAAGGUUAACCGAAUAGGGGAGCCGAAGGGAAACCGAGUCUUAACUGGGCGUUAAGUUGCAGGGUAUAGACCCGAAACCCGGUGAUCUAGCCAUGGGCAGGUUGAAGGUUGGGUAACACUAACUGGAGGACCGAACCGACUAAUGUUGAAAAAUUAGCGGAUGACUUGUGGCUGGGGGUGAAAGGCCAAUCAAACCGGGAGAUAGCUGGUUCUCCCCGAAAGCUAUUUAGGUAGCGCCUCGUGAAUUCAUCUCCGGGGGUAGAGCACUGUUUCGGCAAGGGGGUCAUCCCGACUUACCAACCCGAUGCAAACUGCGAAUACCGGAGAAUGUUAUCACGGGAGACACACGGCGGGUGCUAACGUCCGUCGUGAAGAGGGAAACAACCCAGACCGCCAGCUAAGGUCCCAAAGUCAUGGUUAAGUGGGAAACGAUGUGGGAAGGCCCAGACAGCCAGGAUGUUGGCUUAGAAGCAGCCAUCAUUUAAAGAAAGCGUAAUAGCUCACUGGUCGAGUCGGCCUGCGCGGAAGAUGUAACGGGGCUAAACCAUGCACCGAAGCUGCGGCAGCGACGCUUAUGCGUUGUUGGGUAGGGGAGCGUUCUGUAAGCCUGUGAAGGUGUGCUGUGAGGCAUGCUGGAGGUAUCAGAAGUGCGAAUGCUGACAUAAGUAACGAUAAAGCGGGUGAAAAGCCCGCUCGCCGGAAGACCAAGGGUUCCUGUCCAACGUUAAUCGGGGCAGGGUGAGUCGACCCCUAAGGCGAGGCCGAAAGGCGUAGUCGAUGGGAAACAGGUUAAUAUUCCUGUACUUGGUGUUACUGCGAAGGGGGGACGGAGAAGGCUAUGUUGGCCGGGCGACGGUUGUCCCGGUUUAAGCGUGUAGGCUGGUUUUCCAGGCAAAUCCGGAAAAUCAAGGCUGAGGCGUGAUGACGAGGCACUACGGUGCUGAAGCAACAAAUGCCCUGCUUCCAGGAAAAGCCUCUAAGCAUCAGGUAACAUCAAAUCGUACCCCAAACCGACACAGGUGGUCAGGUAGAGAAUACCAAGGCGCUUGAGAGAACUCGGGUGAAGGAACUAGGCAAAAUGGUGCCGUAACUUCGGGAGAAGGCACGCUGAUAUGUAGGUGAAGUCCCUCGCGGAUGGAGCUGAAAUCAGUCGAAGAUACCAGCUGGCUGCAACUGUUUAUUAAAAACACAGCACUGUGCAAACACGAAAGUGGACGUAUACGGUGUGACGCCUGCCCGGUGCCGGAAGGUUAAUUGAUGGGGUCAGCGCAAGCGAAGCUCUUGAUCGAAGCCCCGGUAAACGGCGGCCGUAACUAUAACGGUCCUAAGGUAGCGAAAUUCCUUGUCGGGUAAGUUCCGACCUGCACGAAUGGCGUAAUGAUGGCCAGGCUGUCUCCACCCGAGACUCAGUGAAAUUGAACUCGCUGUGAAGAUGCAGUGUACCCGCGGCAAGACGGAAAGACCCCGUGAACCUUUACUAUAGCUUGACACUGAACAUUGAGCCUUGAUGUGUAGGAUAGGUGGGAGGCUUGGAAGUGUGGACGCCAGUCUGCAUGGAGCCGACCUUGAAAUACCACCCUUUAAUGUUUGAUGUUCUAACGUUGACCCGUAAUCCGGGUUGCGGACAGUGUCUGGUGGGUAGUUUGACUGGGGCGGUCUCCUCCUAAAGAGUAACGGAGGAGCACGAAGGUUGGCUAAUCCUGGUCGGACAUCAGGAGGUUAGUGCAAUGGCAUAAGCCAGCUUGACUGCGAGCGUGACGGCGCGAGCAGGUGCGAAAGCAGGUCAUAGUGAUCCGGUGGUUCUGAAUGGAAGGGCCAUCGCUCAACGGAUAAAAGGUACUCCGGGGAUAACAGGCUGAUACCGCCCAAGAGUUCAUAUCGACGGCGGUGUUUGGCACCUCGAUGUCGGCUCAUCACAUCCUGGGGCUGAAGUAGGUCCCAAGGGUAUGGCUGUUCGCCAUUUAAAGUGGUACGCGAGCUGGGUUUAGAACGUCGUGAGACAGUUCGGUCCCUAUCUGCCGUGGGCGCUGGAGAACUGAGGGGGGCUGCUCCUAGUACGAGAGGACCGGAGUGGACGCAUCACUGGUGUUCGGGUUGUCAUGCCAAUGGCACUGCCCGGUAGCUAAAUGCGGAAGAGAUAAGUGCUGAAAGCAUCUAAGCACGAAACUUGCCCCGAGAUGAGUUCUCCCUGACUCCUUGAGAGUCCUGAAGGAACGUUGAAGACGACGACGUUGAUAGGCCGGGUGUGUAAGCGCAGCGAUGCGUUGAGCUAACCGGUACUAAUGAACCGUGAGGCUUAACCUU